RNAcentral lists this long non-coding RNA (1116 nucleotides) under Meriones unguiculatus (Mongolian gerbil). Its description in RNAcentral is "lncRNA (ENSMUGG00000014404.1)". Lineage: Eukaryota; Metazoa; Chordata; Mammalia; Rodentia; Muridae. The record is from RNAcentral.
CCUGUCCCCUCCCCCUCUUCCUGGAAGACCCUCCCAGGAGCCCCUUCAAAGGGGCCCCGCGCGCUCUCCGGGCCAGCCCUCGGGGAGGGCAAACAGGAAAAGGAAACUCGGCAGCCUGGCCCGGGCCGGGGGGUGGGGAACGGCUGUCACAGCAGGGUCCCGGGGAGCUGAGAAGUUGGAGGAGCCCUCCCCCAGCUCCCAUCUGGAAGCCAGAAGGUUUUGGUCUGUGGCUUUCAGGUACCCGGGAGAACCUGUCCUCUCCCUUCCCCCACCGUACAUCUGUGUAGGCAGGAGCGUUAGCAGCCUUCAGCGCCACGCGGGACACCCGAACCUCACGCUCCUGCCAAGCACGUCCGUUUCACCUUCGGCCGGCCUAGGCCUCCAGAUCCUUCAUCCCGCGCUGCGACAGAGCCCGCUCUCGAGACCUUGUGGCACGCUGGGAAGUGGGGAAUCCCCGGGCCGUCGCGGGGAGAGGCCAGGAGUUCCCAGAAGGCGCAGGUCACUGCACGCAGGGGCGAGGUCUGAACGUCCCACCCCGUCUCUGGUUGACGUAAUCGGCCCCUAGGGCUGUCGGCUGGCUACCGAGCUCCGGAACUCCGCCUCUGACUCGUUUCCUCCCAGGCUCCACCCUGCAGUCUCCCCGCCUGAAGCCAGUGGACCUUGUCAGAGUCCAAGACCCCUGGAAACCGGUCCGGACACUUCCUGCUUCACAUUAGUCACAACUUGUGGCCUGGCACCUCCCAGGCUUCAGAAGCUGCCACCUGCCUAUUGAACCCUGCAGAGCAGGGGAGGCGGAUUGUGUCUGUUCCCUUGCUUUUUUGCAAGGAGAUCCACCACGGCCUUAGUUUCCUCAUCUAUUAAGAAAACAACCGGGUGGUGGUGGCACACGCCUUUAAUCCCAGCCCUCCCUUGGGAGGCAGAGGCGCCUUUGAUCUCGGCAUUUGGGAGGUUCCCAGCACUUGGGAGGCAGAGGCAGGUGGAUCUCAGCGCGUUACAAGCCUGCCUGGUCUACAAUCUCCAGAAUUCCAGGAUAGCCAGGGAUAUAUAUAUAUAUUUAUAUAUAUAUAUGUAAAUAUAUAUAUAAAGAUAAGAUCUUAAAUAAAGAUAAGAUGGAAG